GAGAAUAUUGUCCUGAGUGAUGUAACCCAGUCCCCAAAGGACAUGCAUGUUUCAGCAAGAUCAUUUCCACCCAUCUCCAGACCUCUGAGCACAUGAUAGUUGCAGAAGCCAGAAGGAAGAACCAACUACCAGGUCCACACAGCAAAUGAAGAGGAGAAAGUGGAGGUCCACAGAGGAGAGAUUUAGUCCAUCUGGCUCCCUGGAGGUGGCAUCAACCACCAUGUCUCCUGUGUAUCUGAAUCGGAGCCCGGCCCAUGAACCACACCACUCAUGUAUGGUGAAUCUUCUUGUCUCAACUAAGCUAGUCUAGAUAAUCUCUCAGGAGCAGGUUCAGAGAUUUGUCUCCUUGGUGACUCUACUUGUAUAUAUUUUCGCUCGGCUAUAUAAGCCAGCAGCUCCAGGAUAUCGGGGUCCUUCGCUUCAAACUUCAAGAGGAGCUCCCAAUAAAGUGCUGCUGAGAAGGA
Molecule: long non-coding RNA, 464 nt
Organism: Mastomys coucha (southern multimammate mouse)
Lineage: Eukaryota; Metazoa; Chordata; Mammalia; Rodentia; Muridae
Exons: 3
Source: RefSeq, a predicted model, not a curated record